This 497-nucleotide ribosomal RNA is filed under the name uncultured bacterium. Its description in RNAcentral is "partial 16S ribosomal RNA". It matches the Rfam family "Bacterial small subunit ribosomal RNA", at positions 28 to 507 of the family's 1533-position model. The record is from RNAcentral.
GAUGAACGCUGGCGGCGUGCCUAAUACAUGCAAGUCGAGCGAACAGACGAGGAGCUUGCUCCUCUAACGUUAGCGGCGGACGGGUGAGUAACACGUGGAUAACCUACCUAUAAGACUGGGAUAACUUCGGGAAACCGGAGCUAAUACCAGAUAAUAUAUUGAACCGCAUGGUUCAAUAGUGAAAGACGGUUUUGCUGUCACUUAUAGAUGGAUCCGCGCCGCAUUAGCUAGUUGGUAAGGUAACAGCUUACCAAGGCAACGAUGCGUAGCCGAUCUGAGAGGGUGAUCGGCCACACUGGAACUGAGACACGGUCCAGACUCCUACGGGAGGCAGCAGUAGGGAAUCUUCCGCAAUGGGCGAAAGCCUGACGGAGCAACGCCGCGUGAGUGAUGAAGGUCUUCGGAUCGUAAAACUCUGUUAUUAGGGAAGAACAAAUGUGUAAGUAACUAUGCACGUCUUGACGGUACCUAAUCAGAAAGCCACGGCUAACUACGUG